Molecule: long non-coding RNA, 1336 nt
Organism: Oncorhynchus tshawytscha (Chinook salmon)
Lineage: Eukaryota; Metazoa; Chordata; Actinopteri; Salmoniformes; Salmonidae
Source: Ensembl
GGUACACAGUGACGGCCCAUGUUUGUAUAUGCCUGACUGUCUAGGUACACAGUGACGGCCCAUGUUUGUAUAUGCCUGACUGUCUAGGUACACAGUGACGGCCCAUGUUUGUAUAUGCCUGACUGUCUAGGUUCAAAGACUUUUAUGUUUAGAGUAUUCAUUGUGAGUUGAGCUGAUCCUAAAGUAGCAAUAGACGACCAUUAGUGGAGUUUUACUAUUCUAAAACCCUUUUUAAACUUCAAAUUUUAACUAUGUAUAUACUGUACUUUUAAAAUGUGUAGAGAUGUUUUUUUUAAAAAUAUUUAUUGAGCCAGUAGUUCUGAAAGUAGCGCUCAUGAGACAAAACUGGUCCUCGAAAAUUGCGUACUACGACACGUGCAGGUAUGUGCAUCACAUCUUAGCUUUCUCUUUUGCUCUGCUUUGUGUGUAUCUUGCUAGCUGUCACUCAAACGGCGAGGGGCUGAAGCUCAUUGGCUUGAACUUGAAUUGCUAGGGGGCUGACCCAUGUGGGAGAAAAUUUAGGGAAAAUGGCACCUCUCACCUUCCAGCUUUCAAACUAGAGAUUCCGUGGCUAAUUUGAGGUUAGACAGUAAUUAUUCUCAUAGAUUCUGCAUGUAUGAUUUACAUGUUGACACAUGCAGCCCAAAGUGGGAGGUUUAAUAAAUACUUACUAGUCACCAAUGUUCUUGAGCAUGUCUUUGAAUUGAAUAAUAAUCUGCGUUAACUCAUUAUAUAUCACCAGUAGCCCAGCCAUGUGCUAGAAAUAUUUGUAAACAACUUAAACAAGUGUAAUAUAUUGCAGAUUAUGGAUUUAAAAAAGAUUGUUGUUUAGUCAAUGUGGAGUCUUUACUGAAAAGGAUAAGAGUAAAUGGCAACAAUAAUGAUUAUUUUUCCUAAAAAGUCUUAAAUCCAACUUUUUACAUUUUGUGAGUACAGUGAAGUGUGAUUUGAGUGAGCUGCCAGUGAUUUGGAAAGCUGUACCAUACAAGUUAUUCUACUUAAAGACCCCUGCUACCUGUUUUUAUUUGACUGCAUGUUUUUUAAACACUUAUGUACGUCUCUCUUAUUUUAUUAUACAAAAAAAAAGUUUUUUAUAUGGGGAACUGAUUUGUCGACGACUUCUUGUCUUACUCAGUGUUCAGGCUGUUGAAGGAUGAUUGGUUACACUGUCUUUGUAGAUACUCAACCAGAUAGCAUUGACCCUCGUUUCCAAGCAUGUUUAUUUGUUCUGUACAGUUUGCACUGCCAUGCCAGUUCUCCGCAAAACUUUAGGAACAAUAUUGAAGUAAAAACCAGAUGUAAUUAUGAACUGAAUAAAUCUCUCUUGUAUAUUUAA